RNAcentral lists this ribosomal RNA (357 nucleotides) under uncultured bacterium. RNAcentral describes it as "bacterial SSU rRNA". It matches the Rfam family "Bacterial small subunit ribosomal RNA", at positions 8 to 350 of the family's 1533-position model. The record is from RNAcentral.
AGAGUUUGAUCCUGGCUCAGGAUGAACGCUAGCUACAGGCUUAACACAUGCAAGUCGAGGGGAAACGAUAUUGGAAGCUUGCUUCCGAUUAGGCGUCGACCGGCGCACGGGUGAGUAACGCGUAUCCAACCUGCCCACCACUUGGGGAUAACCUUGCGAAAGUAAGACUAAUACCCAAUGAUAUCUCUAGAAGACAUCUGAAAGAGAUUAAAGAUUUAUCGGUGAUGGAUGGGGAUGCGUCUGAUUAGCUUGUUGGCGGGGUAACGGCCCGACCAAGGCGACGAUCAGUAGGGGUUCUGGAGAGGAAGGUCCCCCACACUUGGAACUGAGACACGGUCCAAACUCCUACGGGAGGCA